This 378-nucleotide unclassified non-coding RNA is filed under the name uncultured Micrococcales bacterium. RNAcentral's name for it is "contains 16S-23S intergenic spacer region". The record is from RNAcentral. Lineage: Bacteria; Bacillati; Actinomycetota; Actinomycetes; Micrococcales.
UCCGAGUUGACCCCGGCAGUCUCCCAUGAGUUCCCACCAUGACGUGCUGGCAACAUAGGACGAGGGUUGCGCUCGUUGCGGGACUUAACCCAACAUCUCACGACACGAGCUGACGACAACCAUGCACCACCUGUGCACCGGCCACAAGGGAAAACACAUCUCUGCGCCGGUCCAGUGCAUGUCAAGCCUUGGUAAGGUUCUUCGCGUUGCAUCGAAUUAAUCCGCAUGCUCCGCCGCUUGUGCGGGCCCCCGUCAAUUCCUUUGAGUUUUAGCCUUGCGGCCGUACUCCCCAGGCGGGGCACUUAAUGCGUUAGCUGCGGCACGGAAUCCGUGGAAUGGACCCCACACCUAGUGCCCAACGUUUACGGCAUGGACUAC